This 465-nucleotide ribosomal RNA is filed under the name uncultured bacterium. RNAcentral describes it as "partial 16S ribosomal RNA". It matches the Rfam family "Bacterial small subunit ribosomal RNA", at positions 28 to 507 of the family's 1533-position model. The record is from RNAcentral.
GACGAACGCUGGCGGCGUGCUUAACACAUGCCAGUCGAACGGAAAGGCCCCUUUGGGGGUACUCGAGUGGCGAACGGGUGAGUAACACGUGUGUAACCUGCCCUUGACUUCGGGAUAACUUCAGGAAACUGGGGCUAAUACCGGAUAGGAAUCCUUGCUGCAUGGUGGGGGUUGGAAAGCUUCGGCGGUUUUGGAUGGACUCGCGGCUUAUCAGCUUGUUGGUGGGGUAAUGGCUUACCAAGGCUUUGACGGGUAGCCGGCCUGAGAGGGCGACCGGCCACAUUGGGACUGAGAUACGGCCCAGACUCCUACGGGAGGCAGCAGUGGGGAGUAUUGCACUAUGGGCGGAAGCCUGAUGCAGCAACGCCGCGUGCGGGAUGACGGCCUUCGGGUUGUAAACCGAUUUCAGCAGGGGCGAGGCUUGUGGUGACGGUACCUUCAGAAGAAGCACCGGCUAACUCCGUG